GCUUGCUCUCCGGAUCAGUGGCGAACGGGUGAGUAACACGUGAGCAAUCUGCCCCUGACUCUGGGAUAAGCGCUGGAAACGGCGUCUAAUACCGGAUACGAGCUGCGAAGGCAUCUUCAGCAGCUGGAAAGAACUUCGGUCAGGGAUGAGCUCGCGGCCUAUCAGCUAGUUGGUGAGGUAAUGGCUCACCAAGGCGUCGACGGGUAGCCGGCCUGAGAGGGUGACCGGCCACACUGGGACUGAGACACGGCCCAGACUCCUACGGGAGGCAGCAGUGGGGAAUAUUGCACAAUGGGCGCAAGCCUGAUGCAGCAACGCCGCGUGAGGGACGACGGCCUUCGGGUUGUAAACCUCUUUUAGCAGGGAAGAAGCGAAAGUGACGGUACCUGCAGAAAAAGCGCCGGCUAACUACGUGCCAGCAGCCGCGGUAAUACGUAGGGCGCAAGCGUUAUCCGGAAUUAUUGGGCGUAAAGAGCUCGUAGGCGGUUUGUCGCGUCUGCUGUGAAAACCCGAGGCUCAACCUCGGGCCUGCAGUGGGUACGGGCAGACUAGAGUGCGGUAGGGGAGAUUGGAAUUCCUGGUGUAGCGGUGGAAUGCGCAGAUAUCAGGAGGAACACCGAUGGCGAAGGCAGAUCUCUGGGCCGUAACUGACGCUGA
Molecule: ribosomal RNA, 657 nt
Filed under: unidentified microorganism
Description: bacterial SSU rRNA
Rfam family: Bacterial small subunit ribosomal RNA
Source: RNAcentral